AUACGGAGGGUGCAAGCGUUAUUCGGAAUCACUGGGCGUAAAGGACGCGUAGGCGGGUUGGCAGGUCAGAUGUGAAAUCCUACAGCUUAACUGUAGAACUGCAUUUGAAACUGCUAACCUAGAGUAUGGGAGGGGGAGAUGGAAUUAGUGGUGUAGGGGUAAAAUCCGUAGAUAUCACUAGGAAUACCGAAAGCGAAGGCGAUCUCCUGGAACAUAACUGACGCUAAGGCGUGAAAGCGUGGGGAGCAAACAGGAUUAGAAACCCUAGUAGUCC
RNAcentral lists this ribosomal RNA (274 nucleotides) under uncultured bacterium. Its description in RNAcentral is "partial 16S ribosomal RNA". It matches the Rfam family "Bacterial small subunit ribosomal RNA", at positions 523 to 796 of the family's 1533-position model. The record is from RNAcentral.